Molecule: long non-coding RNA, 2008 nt
Organism: Lonchura striata (white-rumped munia)
Lineage: Eukaryota; Metazoa; Chordata; Aves; Passeriformes; Estrildidae
Source: Ensembl
UGGGUCCUGUCCCCUGUCCCUCGCCCCGGGCUGGCACCUGCGGGUGGCAGCGGCUCUGCCGGGACGGUCAUCGCCCGCCCCGUCCCCUGCAGCCUCCUGGGCAGCGGAUCCGUCCUCGCUGUCACCUCCUGGCAGGGGCGCUGCUGCCACAUCCAGGUGAGUGUCACCGGCCUGUGGCAGUGUCCCUGCUGCCACAUCCAGGUGAGUGCCACCGGCCUGUGGCAGUGUCCCUGCUGCCACAUCCAGGUGAGUGUCACCGGCCUGUGGCAGUAUCACUGCUGCCACAUCCAGGUGAGUGCCACCGGCUCCUGGCAAUGCUGCCAUGUCCAGGUGAGUGUCACCAGCUCCCAGGGACACAGGGCUGGGUCUGGCCCCAGCUAAGCCCGAGUCAAAGCCGAGCUAACACCGGGUUUAAAGCCCCGGGCAGGGAGCAGGAGGUGCAGGAUGCCCAACUCGCGGCACUCGCCCCGGCCCCCGGGAGCCGCCUGGCCCAGCCUGGGAAGGGCCGCGGGAGCUGCCGGGGGCUGCUGCCAGCAGAGCUAACGCCGUGCCCUGUCCCCAGCUGCGCCCCCUGUUCCUCCUGGCCCUGGCAGAUUUCCUGGGUGCCACGGCGCUGCUGGGCACGGGAACCAUCCCGCUGCUGCCGGCCCCCCUCUCCGUGCCCGCCUACGCCGCCUGUCCCUACGGGCGGAUGCUGACCACGGUAAGGGGACGCUGCUGGGGACAGCUGGGGCCUGUCUGCGGCUGCAGUGUCCUGGGGACACUGUCCUGGGGUCCCCCCCUCGGGAGGAACCUCUGCCGAGGGUCGGGCUGUGGAGCACGAGGAGGGAAUGGACGGGGGAGUGGGGGGUGUCGGGGGCAGAGGGAAGGUGGAAGGGGCCCUGGCGGCGCUGGACACCGCAGGAUGCCCGCUCCCCUUCCCUCUGCUCUGCCCCUCUCUCCCAGACCUCCUACGCCGUCUCGUUCCUCAUGGUCGCUGUUUACGCGUUCGAGUCGCACCGCACCGUGCUCGGGGGGCGAGCCCGGCCCCCGGCAGCGCUGCAGGUCCGUGCCUCGCCCGGCCACAGCCGGGACAGGACAAGCGAGCAGCGGGGCGAUCCGGGGCAGCCCCUUUCCCCGGGAAUCCGGGAUUUCCCCGGUCCUGGCGGAGCUGCGGCCACCCCUCCAGCCCCGGCUCACGGCGGUUCUCCCGCAGGAGCGGAGCCGCUGCCUGGAGAGCGCCUGGCAGGGAAUUCCGUACGUCCUGGCCUGGCUGGUGCCGGCGCUGACUCUCCUGGCGCAGCUGCUCGCCCGCGGCACCUCCGCCGCCGACAUCGCGCCCGUGGUGCCCUGGGCCGGCUCCAACGACACCUUCAGCCUUUACUGCUCCAGCUGCCUCCUCCUGAUCCACCCGAACCAGGACAUCUGCUCCCAGUCCGGCGGGGGCAAGAACGCGGGGCUGGAGGAGAAAAUCAUCUUCCUGCUGUACCUGCUGCUGGUGCUCGGCUGCUGCUCGCUCCUGUACCGGCGGGUGCGGCUCCGGUGCCGGGGGAACGCGGCGCUGCCGCUGCUGAGCCUGGACAGGGACGGCGGCUUCGGGGGCAGGAGCGGCCGCAGCGUCAGCAAAGCCUCGCUGUACUUCCAGCUGGUUUUCCUGCUCUGCUGGACGCCAGGCAAGGCCAGGGGGGUGUCCCAAAGCCCCCAGCCCCACAGGGUCACAGUGAGGGUGUCCCCAGGGUCACAGUGAGGGUGUCCCCAGCUCCCCCAGCCCCACAGGGUCACAGUGAGGGUGUCCCCAGCCCCUCAGGGUCACAGUGAGGGUGUCCCCAGCUUCCCCAGGGUCACAGUGAGGGUGUCCCCAGCCCCUCAGGGUCACAGUGAGGGUGUCCCCAGCUUCCCCAGGGUCACAGUGAGGGUGUCCCCAGCUCCCCCAGCUUCCCCAGGGUCACAGUGAGGGUGUCCCAGCUCCCCAGGGUCACAGUGAGGGUGUCCCCAGCUCCCCCAGCCCCUCAGGGUCACAGUGAGGGUG